RNAcentral lists this ribosomal RNA (394 nucleotides) under uncultured bacterium. Its description in RNAcentral is "partial 16S ribosomal RNA". It matches the Rfam family "Bacterial small subunit ribosomal RNA", at positions 338 to 729 of the family's 1533-position model. The record is from RNAcentral.
CCUACGGGAGGCAGCAGUGAGGAAUAUUGGUCAAUGGACGCAAGUCUGAACCAGCCAUGCCGCGUGCAGGAAGACGGCUCUAUGAGUUGUAAACUGCUUUUGUACGAGGGUAAACGCAGAUACGCGUAUCUGUCUGAAAGUAUCGUACGAAUAAGGAUCGGCUAACUCCGUGCCAGCAGCCGCGGUAAUACGGAGGAUUCAAGCGUUAUCCGGAUUUAUUGGGUUUAAAGGGUGCGUAGGCGGGCGGAUAAGUUAGAGGUGAAAUCCAGAGGCUCAACCUCGGAAUUGCAUCUGAUACUGGUCGGCUAGAGAGUAGUUGCGGUAGGCGGAAUGUAUGGUGUAGCGGUGAAAUGCUUAGAUAUCACACAGAACACCGAUUGCGAAGGCAGCUUAC